This 496-nucleotide ribosomal RNA is filed under the name uncultured bacterium. RNAcentral describes it as "partial 16S ribosomal RNA". It matches the Rfam family "Bacterial small subunit ribosomal RNA", at positions 28 to 507 of the family's 1533-position model. The record is from RNAcentral.
GAUGAACGCUGGCGCGUUCCUUAUUCAUUCCAGUCGAGCGAACGGACGGGAAGCUUUCUUCUCUUAUGUUUGCGGCGGACGGGUGAGGAACACGUGGGAAACCUACCUAUAAGACUUGGAUAAAUUCGGGGAACCGUAGCUAAUACCGGGUAAUAUUUUUAACCGCAUGGUUUAAAAAUUGAAGGCGGUCUUGCUGUCACCUAUAGAAGGAUCCGCGCUGCAUUAGCUAGUUGGUAAGGUAACGGCUUACCAAGGCAACGAUGCAUAGCCGACCUGAGAGGGUGAUCGGCCACACUGGAACUGAGACACGGUCCAGACUCCUACGGGAGGCAGCAGUAGGGAAUCUUCCGCAAUGGGCGAAAGCCUGACGGAGCAACGCCGCGUGAGUGAUGAAGGUCUUCGGAUCGUAAAACUCUGUUAUUAGGGAAGAACAUAUGUGUAAGUAACUGUGCACAUCUUGACGGUACCCAAUCAGAAAGCCACGGCUAACUACGUG